GAGGUGGUUGAAGGUCGUUGAAUCGAGGUGGUUGAUGUUCCUUGGGUCGAGGUGGUUGAUGUUUGUUGGGUCGAGGUGGUUGAUGUUCGUUGGGUCGAGGUGGUUGAUGUUUGUUGGGUCGAGGUGGUUGAUGUUUGUUGGGUCGAGGUGGUUGAAGGUCGGUGGGUUGAGGUGGUUGAAGGUCGUUGAAUCGAGGUGGUUGAAGGUCGGUGAGUCGAGGUGGUUGAUGUUCGUUGGGUCGAAGUGGUUGAUGUUUGUUGGGUCGAGGUGGUUGAUGUUUGUUGGGUUGAGGUGGUUAAUGUUCGUUGGGUCGAGGUGGUUGAUGUUUGUUGGGUCGAGGUGGUUGAUGUUCGUUCAGUCGAGGUGGUUGAUGUUUGUUGGGUCGUGGUGGUUGAUGUUCGUUG
This is a long non-coding RNA of Gasterosteus aculeatus aculeatus (three-spined stickleback), 404 nucleotides long. NCBI's taxonomy places the organism in Eukaryota, Metazoa, Chordata, Actinopteri, Perciformes, Gasterosteidae. The record is from Ensembl.